RNAcentral lists this unclassified non-coding RNA (425 nucleotides) under soil metagenome. RNAcentral describes it as "partial contains 5.8S ribosomal RNA, internal transcribed spacer 2, and large subunit ribosomal RNA". The stretch from base 1 to 120 matches the Rfam family "5.8S ribosomal RNA", at positions 35 to 154 of the family's 154-position model. The record is from RNAcentral.
GAUGAAGAACGUAGCGAAAUGCGAUAAGUAGUGUGAAUUGCAGAAUUCCGUGAAUCAUCGAAUCUUUGAACGCACAUUGCGCCUUCUGGUAUUCCGGAAGGCAUGCCUGUUCGAGAGUCAUUAACAACCGUUUCGAUCCCUUUCUUUCAGAAAUUACAAAGAGGAAAAGGGUUUGGUUAUGGUGGAGGAGGGCAAGGGAGCGUUUAGCCUGUAAAAAAAGAGGCUGUGUUCCGCCUCCCCCCCAAAAUUGUACAGGCGGUCGUGUGCGCCCACGCAUCGAGGUGUUGUAAAAGCUGCCACGGCACUUUUCACCUGUGCAGUGCGAGAUUGGCCAGCCGGUUUAAAAACCCCUCCAAACAAUCAAAGGUUGACCUCGGAUCAGGUAGGGAUACCCGCUGAACUUAAGCAUAUCAAUAAGCGGAGGA